This 404-nucleotide ribosomal RNA is filed under the name Clostridioides difficile. RNAcentral's name for it is "bacterial SSU rRNA". It matches the Rfam family "Bacterial small subunit ribosomal RNA", at positions 1139 to 1533 of the family's 1533-position model. The record is from RNAcentral. Lineage: Bacteria; Bacillati; Bacillota; Clostridia; Peptostreptococcales; Peptostreptococcaceae.
UCUAGAGAGACUGCCAGGGAUAACCUGGAGGAAGGUGGGGAUGACGUCAAAUCAUCAUGCCCCUUAUGCUUAGGGCUACACACGUGCUACAAUGGGUAGUACAGAGGGUUGCCAAGCCGUAAGGUGGAGCUAAUCCCUUAAAGCUACUCUCAGUUCGGAUUGUAGGCUGAAACUCGCCUACAUGAAGCUGGAGUUACUAGUAAUCGCAGAGCAGAAUGCUGCGGUGAAUGCGUUCCCGGGUCUUGUACACACCGCCCGUCACACCACGGGAGUUGGAGACGCCCGAAGCCGAUUAUCUAACCUUUUGGAAGAAGUCGUCGAAGGUGGGAUCAAUAACUGGGGUGAAGUCGUAACAAGGUAGCCGUAUCGGAAGGUGCGGCUGGAUCACCUCCUUUCUAAGGAGA